UGGGUUUGACAUGGAUCGGGAGUGCUCAGAGAUGGGUGUGCCUCUUUUGGGGUCGGUUCACAGGUGGUGCAUGGCUGUCGUCAGCUCGUGUCGUGAGAUGUUGGGUUAAGUCCCGCAACGAGCGCAACCCUUGUUCACUGUUGCCAGCACGUUAUGGUGGGGACUCAGUGGAGACCGCCGGGGUCAACUCGGAGGAAGGUGGGGAUGACGUCAAGUCAUCAUGCCCCUUA
Molecule: ribosomal RNA, 230 nt
Filed under: uncultured bacterium
Lineage: Bacteria
Description: partial 16S ribosomal RNA
Rfam family: Bacterial small subunit ribosomal RNA
Source: RNAcentral